AACGGCCGCGGGAUCCUACACCGUGCAAAGGUAGCAUAAUCACUUGUCAUCUAAAUAAUGACUAGUAUGAAUGGCCAAAUGAGGACUUUCCUGUCUCUUGUAGUCAAUCUAUGAAACUGAUCUUCCAGUCCAAAAGCUGGAAUAAAAUCACAAGACGAAAAGACCCUGUGGAACUUACUUUUAGUUGGGGCAACUUUGGAACAAAACAAAACUUCCAAUGACCCAGUAUUACUGAUAAAAGAAACAAGCUACCCCAGGGAUAACAGCGCCAUCCCCUCUUAGAGUCCCAAUCGACGAGCGGGGCUUACGACCUCGAUGUUGGAUCAGGGCCCCCAAACAGUGCAGCAGCUGUUAACGGUUUGUUUGUUCAACAA
Molecule: ribosomal RNA, 374 nt
Filed under: Medopheos edracanthus
Lineage: Eukaryota; Metazoa; Chordata; Lepidosauria; Squamata; Teiidae
Description: partial 16S ribosomal RNA
Rfam family: Bacterial large subunit ribosomal RNA
Source: RNAcentral